GUUAAAAGGAAAAGGAAGAAUACUUCAAGUCAAGUGAACAUAAGCUGUGACAUGCAAGUCCGAGAUCUUAACUUCAAAGACUUACUGCACAGAAGACAGAUACAGGUUGCCUGGGAACCUGUUGAACUUUUGGCAUCAAUUAGAGAAAGCUUAAAGCUACCCUUCUGGCUGCAAGCAUCCCUCAUGAACCAUCCACCUGUCCAGAAGAGCCAGAUAAUGGACCAUUCUGGACCUGUCUGUAACCCCAGAACCCCUCCCAAGCAAGGAGUAUUUCUAAAGGCUUUUACCCUUUUAUGACCUCCUUAUAUUGCUGAAGUGAUGUAGUUUGGAUGAGUCCAAUACAGACUUAACUCUUUCAUGUGCAUUUUUAAGCUGGUGAAAGCAGAAGUGCGCCCCACCACAGUCCAUGGCAGAUUUGUCUGCCAUUCAGGCCUAAUGAAUUUCUUCUCUCACUAAGCAGAAUUGGAGUGAAAUUUUUUAGCUAUAUAAUUAGGAUGAGACUUUACAAUGUAUGCUGCCCAGUUACAGCAAUUUAGUGAACAUAUCUGUUGAAAUGAAGAUAGAGGAAAGGCGGGUGAUUUGUGUAGAAAGUUGCAUCAUCUGAGAAAUCAUUGCAAAAUGAUGACUGCAGCCAUGAUAUGUGUGUAGUCAUAGUGAAAGAAAUUGACUUAUAUGGCCAGUUAUAAUAUAUUUCACCUAAUGGAGGAAGAGCUGAGUCAAUGAACAAUUUUGUAUCACCAUUAUUGCAAAAUGAUUACAGCCCCCUUUAUCACAGCUGUACAAUAUGCUGACUGAACAGGAAAACAUGCAGUACACACAGUGUAGUGAUUUCCACCACCGUAUAAGUAAAUGUCAGACUUGUUUCAUCUAUUCAGUGAUUUUCUUAAUGAAAACGUCAGCAUAAUGCUGGCAUUUUCCUCCUUUCAUUUAAUUCCUCCUCUCCUCUUUUAUCCACUAUUUGACCUUUGCAUGUACUUGGUAGCCUGCCCAAGGUGCUGUCACACCUUCACUGCUCCUCUCUAAUGAUGGUCUCUCACUGCCAGAUUCAAACAGGGUACUUGGGAAGGAAUUGCAGGGCCCUGUUCCCAGCAGGAGGGUGAAAAUCUUCACUACUUUAGCUGACUUUCACUUCUGCUCUGAAAAGACUAACCAGUGAUUGUUCACAAAAGUUAACCUGCUCAAAUAGCAUCCUGUUACAGCAGUCUAAGGCUCCAGAGAAGAAGGCACAAUGAUUGCAGCUACAGCAAGACAGGAAUACCAAGGGCUAGUAACUGCUGAAUGAGUCAUGAUUAGUGGA
This 1297-nucleotide long non-coding RNA is filed under the name Cyanistes caeruleus (blue tit). Its description in RNAcentral is "lncRNA (ENSCCEG00000000883.1)". The record is from RNAcentral. Lineage: Eukaryota; Metazoa; Chordata; Aves; Passeriformes; Paridae.